Molecule: ribosomal RNA, 167 nt
Filed under: Anaerolineales bacterium
Lineage: Bacteria; Bacillati; Chloroflexota; Anaerolineae; Anaerolineales
Description: partial 23S ribosomal RNA
Rfam family: Bacterial large subunit ribosomal RNA
Source: RNAcentral
AGAGAUAACCGCUGAAAGCAUCUAAGUGGGAAACUCGCUCCAAGAUUAGAUCCCUCAUCCCGCUAAGGGAGUAAGGUCGCAGGAAGACUACCUGCUUGAUAGGCGGCAAGUGUAAGCACAGCAAUGUGUUGAGCUAAGCCGUUACUAAUGACCGAGGACUUAACUUG